This 484-nucleotide ribosomal RNA is filed under the name uncultured bacterium. RNAcentral's name for it is "partial 16S ribosomal RNA". It matches the Rfam family "Bacterial small subunit ribosomal RNA", at positions 29 to 507 of the family's 1533-position model. The record is from RNAcentral.
AUUGAACGCUGGCGGCAUGCUUUACACAUGCAAGUCGAACGGCAGCGCGGGCUUCUUCCUGGCGGCGAGUGGGGAACGGGUGAGUAAUGCAUCGGAACGUGCCCAGUAGUGGGGGAUAGCCCGGCGAAAGCCGGAUUAAUACCGCAUACGACCUGAUGGUGAAAGCGGGGGAUCGAAAGGCCUCGCGCUAUUUGAGCGGCCGAUGUCGGAUUAGCUAGUUGGUGGGGCAAAGGCUUACCAAGGCGACGAUCCGUAGCUGGUCUGAGAGGACGACCAGCCACACUGGAACUGAGACACGGCCCAGACUCCUACGGGAGGCAGCAGUAGGGAAUUUUGGACAAUGGGGGCAACCCUGAUCCAGCCAUGCCGCGUGAGGGAAGAAGGCCUUCGGGUUGUAAACCGCUUUUGUUCGGGAAGAAAUCCUCUGGGCUAAUACCCCGAGGGGAUGACGGUACCGGAAGAAUAAGCACCGGCUAACUACGUG